RNAcentral lists this ribosomal RNA (396 nucleotides) under uncultured bacterium. Its description in RNAcentral is "bacterial SSU rRNA". It matches the Rfam family "Bacterial small subunit ribosomal RNA", at positions 358 to 771 of the family's 1533-position model. The record is from RNAcentral.
GGAAUUUUGGGCAAUGGGCGAAAGCCUGACCCAGCAACGCCGCGUGAAGGAUGAAGUAUUUCGGUAUGUAAACUUCGAAAGAAUGGGAAGAAUAAAUGACGGUACCAUUUAUAAGGUCCGGCUAACUACGUGCCAGCAGCCGCGGUAAUACGUAGGGACCAAGCGUUGUUCGGAUUUACUGGGCGUAAAGGGCGCGUAGGCGGCCCCACAAGUCACUUGUGAAAUCUCCGGGCUUAACUCGGAACGGCCAAGUGAAACUGUGGAGCUAGAGUGUGGAAGGGGCAAUCGGAAUUCUUGGUGUAGCGGUGAAAUGCGUAGAAAUCAAGAGGAACACCUGAGGUGAAGACGGGUUGCUGGGCCAACACUGACGCUGAGGCGCGAAAGCCAGGGGAGCAA